AUUGAACGCUGGCGGCAUGCCUAACACAUGCAAGUCGAACGGAGCGGCGGACGGGUGAGUGAGGCCUAGGAAUCUGCCCGUUAGUAGGGGCUAACGUCCGGUAACGGGCGCUAAUACCGCAUACUAUCAGAUCAGCCUAGGUCGGAUUAGCUAGUGGGUGGGGUAAAGGCUUACCCAGGCAACGAUCCGUAGCUGGUCUGAGAGGAGGAUCAGUCACACUGGGACUGAGACACGGCCCAGACUCCUACGGGAGGCAGCAGUGGGGAAUAUUGGACAAUGGGGGAAAGCCUGAUCCAGCCAUGCCGCGUGUGUGAAGAAGGUCUUCGGAUUGUAAAGCACUUUUAGUUGAGAAGCGUUAUCAACAGAAUAAGCACCGGCUAACUACGUGCCAGCAGCCGCGGUAAUUC
RNAcentral lists this ribosomal RNA (407 nucleotides) under uncultured bacterium. Its description in RNAcentral is "partial 16S ribosomal RNA". It matches the Rfam family "Bacterial small subunit ribosomal RNA", at positions 30 to 526 of the family's 1533-position model. The record is from RNAcentral.